UCAGGUCUGAGGGCAAAAUGUCCUCUCUUCUAAAAGGGCCUCGCACUUACUGCACACCCAGCCGUCCCGCACUGGUGGAGGUUAGCACAGACUGCAUUCCGUUUUACAUUCCUGGCCUGCCCUCCCUGUUGUCUGCUUCUGUGGCUGGAAUGCGGGCCCAGGUCACCCAGAGCUGCAGCUGCCCGUGGUUUAAUAGCUGUAGAGUGAACAGGUUUUGACGCCUGAGAUGGCCUUUCCAUGCAGAGGGCAGCAGUACAGUUUCCUCUUGAAGGCCGUCUAAAAAGGUCUCGGGAAAUGAGUUCAAGUGAAAUAGAAGUUCAAGUGAAAUGCAAGGUCAGUAGUACUACAGAGGUGGGAGGGGGCAGUCUUGAAGGAGGUGUCCACUGAC
Molecule: long non-coding RNA, 388 nt
Filed under: Ictidomys tridecemlineatus (thirteen-lined ground squirrel)
Lineage: Eukaryota; Metazoa; Chordata; Mammalia; Rodentia; Sciuridae
Description: lncRNA (ENSSTOG00000031826.1)
Source: RNAcentral